This 242-nucleotide ribosomal RNA is filed under the name uncultured bacterium. Its description in RNAcentral is "partial 16S ribosomal RNA". It matches the Rfam family "Bacterial small subunit ribosomal RNA", at positions 91 to 334 of the family's 1533-position model. The record is from RNAcentral.
ACGAGUGGCGAACGGGUGAGUAACACGUGAGUAACCUGCCCUCAUCUCUGGGAUAACAGUCGGAAACGGUUGCUAAUACUGGAUAUGAGCUUGCAAGGCAUCUUGUGGGUUGGAAAGAUAUUUUGGUUGGGGAUGGACUCGCGGCCUAUCAGCUUGUUGGUGAGGUAGUGGCUCACCAAGGCUUCGACGGGUAGCCGGCCUGAGAGGGCGACCGGCCACAUUGGGACUGAGAUACGGCCCAA